CAAGAACACAUGGAAGAGGCACAUCAGAUUGUUCAGAGACAUGUCUCUGGUCAAAUGUUAAGGCAAAAGAAAAACCAUGACAUAAAUGUCAGUCUGAUGUAUGUGCUAAUUGUGGUGAACUUAACAAUAAAACAUCCUCGUGUAGAUUUGGAAAGAAAAUCAAAUGUUAUAAUUGUAAAAUGUAACAUGUAUGGCCACAAACUGAAAUUUUGUACAGCAUGAAAAAAUGGCAAAGAAGAGAAUGCCAAUGUAACCACUGUUUCAAACAGAUUUAACACACUUUCAACAUUAUGCUCUGAAUGCAAUUUAUUAUCUGUAUAUGUAAGUCCACGUUUUCUAUUUCACAAGAGUAUGGAAUUUCUAAAAGAAACAAAAAGGGG
Molecule: long non-coding RNA, 380 nt
Filed under: Mytilus galloprovincialis (Mediterranean mussel)
Lineage: Eukaryota; Metazoa; Mollusca; Bivalvia; Mytilida; Mytilidae
Source: RNAcentral